UCCGGUUUGUCACCGGCAGUCCCAUUAAAGUGCCCAACCGAAUUGCUGGCAAUUAAUGGCAAGGGUUGCGCUCGUUGCGGGACUUAACCCAACAUCUCACGACACGAGCUGACGACAGCCAUGCAGCACCUGUGUGCAGGCUCCCUUUCGGGCACUCCCGACUCUCAUCGGGAUUCCUGCCAUGUCAAGGGUAGGUAAGGUUUUUCGCGUUGCAUCGAAUUAAUCCACAUAAUCCACCGCUUGUGCGGGUCCCCGUCAAUUCCUUUGAGUUUUAACCUUGCGGCCGUACUCCCCAGGCGGUCGACUUCACGCGUUAGCUUCGUUACUAAGGAAGUUUCCUUCCCCAACAACCAGUCGACAUCGUUUAGGGCGUGGACUAC
Molecule: unclassified non-coding RNA, 380 nt
Filed under: uncultured Gammaproteobacteria bacterium
Lineage: Bacteria; Pseudomonadati; Pseudomonadota; Gammaproteobacteria
Description: contains 16S-23S intergenic spacer region
Source: RNAcentral